AUAGUUCCUGAUGAGAGAUUGCAUUUCUCAAUUGAAAUGAAAAAAGGACUCGGGGAAAAAAAUGGCAGCUGAAAAGAUCUUGUUGAUCUUCAAGUGAAUAGAGGACUUUUGCAUGGACAUAACCAUGGCAACGCACUAUAAAACAUCUGUCCUGUUUUAUGUUUGUCAUUCAAAACUCAAGCCAGACAGUGAAGCAUUGUUUUGUUGAGACUGAUGAGCUUGCCUUCUGCGUGUACGCUUGAAUUCUUGAACCCCCCCUGCUGUGUUGCUUAAAAGUCACGGUUUAAUCGCUGUAAAAGAUCUGUAUAAACACUCAACCAGAUGCCACAGGAGAAAAUUUGUCAUGGGAGUUAGGAAGAGGAAGACUUCAAAUGUGCCACUUCUGCUGAGAGCUGGACUGCGUAAUGUUCACGGGUGUCACGGACGGGUUGAUUAGGACCCGAAUGCAGGCCAGGACACAGGAGGGAGGGGGCACACAAAGAACACGAGGAACACGAGGGCAGCCCUCCAGGACUGCGGAGGGCGCAGGGAACAGGGGAGGCCCUCCAGGGCGCAGGGAACUGGAGCAGCCCUCCAGGAGACACGAAGCUGGAGCGGCCCUCCAGGAAAUACAGAACACCAGCACACAACAAGGAAGACGAACAGACACGCUGACAAGACAAACAGACAACCUCACAACCCAAAGACACAACCUGCUUAAAUGGGCAGCCCGAUGUAAAUUGCCUACAGGUGUGCCUGCCAGCAGUGCCAGCUGCCACCAAUUGUGCCGCACACCACCCCCUGCAGGACAACGACCGACACAACCCAGAAACCCUGACAACGGGCCAUUUAGCAGGUUCAACUCUUGUGCUAAUUGCUCCUGCUCCUGUGGGCAAUGCUGUCAACAACAGAUGAGGAAGUGAAACUGACCAUUCUCACGCAUCAGUUUGCGCUACAGUGUUCAAACUUGCCACUGCAUGGCAGAGAAGACUAAAUAAAACUAAAAUCAAUGUUCCUCGAAGGCUGACUUUCCACAGCCAAACUUAGGAAAGGGUUCUUGUUUGUGUAAACUGCCAUGGUGUUCGCUACACAGAAGAAACAAAACCAAUGAAAUCAUCUUGUAUAAUAAUCUGAAUAACAUUCAUUGACAUCUUGAUCAAUAAGAAAUUGUUCAAUUUUCAAACACCACG
This 1169-nucleotide long non-coding RNA is filed under the name Takifugu rubripes (torafugu). Its description in RNAcentral is "lncRNA (ENSTRUG00000029037.1)". Lineage: Eukaryota; Metazoa; Chordata; Actinopteri; Tetraodontiformes; Tetraodontidae. The record is from RNAcentral.